GGGCUUCCAGCCCUUCAGGCCCAGCUCUCCCGGAGAGCACCAAAGUCCCUUUGCUCCAUUUACUUGCACUCUUCGGCCAGCAAGUGUUUCCUAAUGUCUCACCCCCAGUCCCAGCUUUCCUGCUGCAAUUUCUGCCUGUUCCCUCCCAUUUCAGGCCUUAAGGGAGUGUGGCUGGGCUUCUCUCCUCCCCCUCACUCCAAAGCCGCACUUGAUACAAGGUGGAAAUCAAGGCACCACUUCUGGCUUCCCAGCCUUGAACUUGCCCUUCCCUCUCAAUGUACCUGGUUUCCUCAGCUUCCCUGUGCAGCAACAGUGUCACUCCCCUCUUGCUUUUCCCAAGCUCCCCAUGUGCCCCUCUCAGCAGAUCUGUCUUAAAGGGGCCAGGUGCAGAGAAAGGCAGAAAUCCUAAUAAUGUUCCCAGCGAUCACUGCCUGUCGCGGAGUGCUGAAGGGCCAAGUGUUGAUCUGAGUCCUCAUCACACGGGACUUCAUUUAGUCUCACAAUAGGCAAAAACCGAGGCCCAGUAGUACCUUACCCACGGUCACAUCCCCAGAGCCAUUUGUCCCUCAUAGUUCAGAACUUGACUCAGAAAGCAGUUGAGAAAAGUAUGGAAUGACCCCAGAUUCAGGAAGGCAAGUCUGGCCUUAGAAACUGAAAGGCCCAUC
This 665-nucleotide long non-coding RNA is filed under the name Pan troglodytes (chimpanzee). RNAcentral's name for it is "long non-coding RNA NONPTRT010907". Lineage: Eukaryota; Metazoa; Chordata; Mammalia; Primates; Hominidae. The record is from RNAcentral.